This 253-nucleotide ribosomal RNA is filed under the name uncultured bacterium. RNAcentral's name for it is "partial 16S ribosomal RNA". It matches the Rfam family "Bacterial small subunit ribosomal RNA", at positions 524 to 776 of the family's 1533-position model. The record is from RNAcentral.
UACGUAGGGGGCAAGCGUUGUCCGGAAUCAUUGGGCGUAAAGGGCUCGUAGGCGGUCCAUCGCGUCGGGAGUGAAAAGCUGGGGCUUAACCCCAGUCCUGCUUCCGAUACGGGUGGACUAGAGGUAGGUAGGGGAGAACGGAAUUCCUGGUGUAGCGGUGAAAUGCGCAGAUAUCAGGAGGAACACCGGUGGCGAAGGCGGUUCUCUGGGCCUUACCUGACGCUGAGGAGCGAAAGCAUGGGGAGCAAACAGG